AUUACUUUUCACAUACAAGACUCUUUGUAUGUUUUAGGACAUGACUCAUUUUUCACGUUAGAUUUUCACUUGUUAAGUUUUCACAGACUGCAGAUUUACAGAGUUGUAAACAUUACAUGACAGUGGCUAUUGGAUUCUCACAGAGGAGAGUGUGGUCUCUGAUAAGCCCUUGCACUCAGAGCAUGGCCAGUUUUGCUCUCUUGGACUCCUGGCCACAGACGGCUGUGGCAUUGCUGGGACUCAAACUCACGAUCUCUGGACAAUAAUAUUGAUUUUUUUUAAGGCGAAAUCUUGAAACCCAAGCAUUUCUACAAAAUUUUGAUGCCAUGUUCUGAUUUUGGAGUGAGGAGUGUUUCACUGCCUUGAGGUUGCCAGGAGCAAUAACUGAUCUUUUAAUCCAGUGCACUGCUGAACUUAGACCAUUAAUAAUAUAGAUAUACAACCAAUAAAAAAAAAGACCAAAAAUAAGACAAAAUUUUGCAAGAAUACCAGCUGCCUCUCAACAAACCUCUCAUUUUCCUUGCUUGACUGGACCUAGAGGAGAAACAAGUUUGCUGAUUGUCAAAAGUUAGAAAUUCACACUUUUUAUGUGGCAUUUCUUUUGAACAGCUUGCUCUCUAUCAUCCACCAUGUCAGAUGAGACACUGUUAAGGAACUAAACUGCUGUCUUCCAUUCCAGAAGAUGACAAUGCUCUUCUUAACCUCAGGGAAGUGAACAUCCUCAUAGACAAGCUGUAAGAUGACAAAUUCCUUAAUGCUGCUGACCUUAUUCAAUUUAAAGCAUUGCUAUACUCUGGCAGAUACCCUUUGUUGUACAUGAACCACCCUGAGCAUCUGUCAUGUCUUCAGAACUAUAUAUCAAGCUCAAGGAAGAGAACCGGCCUGCCAUUAACAACACUACAACCACACAGAAAUUGGUUACCAUUGAAAUUGUUCAUUUUUCCCCUCCUUCAAUUCUACCACCUGCAUCCCACAGACACUGGGCUUUAGAAGCCAGUUAUUGCCCCACACUCAUCACAUCACUAUCUUCACUGAACCCCUCUAACUAAUAAAUCCCUGGAUCUCAUCUCUCCUCAUUUACUCUCCUCUUACUGCAUUUGGCAGAUGCCCUUAUCCAGAGCAACAUACAUUUAUCUCAUUUAUACAAUUGAGCAGUCAAGGGUUAAGGGCUUUGCUCAAGGGCCCAGGAGGGGCAGCUUGGUAGAACUGGGAUUUGAACCUUCAGAGUAGAAGUUCAACACCUUAGCCGCUGAGCUACCACUAUCCCCCUCAGACGUCAUAGUAUAUCUACAUAGUAUAUCUACCAUACACUAAUCCCUAUACCCACUUACAUCAUAUGCACAUCCUUCACCUGACAUAUUCCCCCACCAUAUUCAAGAAAUCUCAACUUCUACACUGCUCAAUCAGCAAAUAAAGAACUACUUUUUUUUCUUACUGAAUGACCUGCUACACCCAAACAGUGAGGUUUCAAAAUCAAUAAGCUCCAAUAAGAUGGCCGUGUUGACUUUUGUGACACCUUUCAGUCUCUAAAACCAGCUGGCAAAUUCUCAGUUUGUAUACUGCUGGACCUGUCUGAAGAUCAGCAGAGAUUCUCAAACUCCAUCAGGGUCCCCAGUUUAUCCACAUUUUUACUGUAUUCCAAUACACACACAACACAACAUAGAUCAAAAAUCAGGGACCCUGAAGGACUGGUUUGAGAACCACUGCUCUGGAGUGUGAAGGAGUGAGGAAAGCAUGUCCUAUCAGUUGACUAGUAUAAGUCAAGGAUGUCUGCUUGGCACUCUGAUCUCACAGUACACCACUUUACUGGGUAAAAUCAUAUCAAUAAUGCUAAUCUUCAUCUAUGAUGAAUGGCGGGAAUGGAAAGAGAAGGAGGAAAUAUAGAGGGAUCUUUAUAUUAUAGAUUUCCUUACAGAUAUCUCAGUCUGGCUAGAGGAGUUUCACCUCAAAAUCAACCUAGGGGUCCCUCAUAAAACACAAUUAUCAUCAAGCUCAGUAUAAUAAAAUUGCUUAAUAACAUUAAAGGGAACAUUUGGUAACAUUUCUCUUGGAAAUCUCCAGCUCUUGCAGAUUUGCACUCAAUAACAUCAGGAAAUCACAUUGUACCUGUCGGAUUAUUCAAUAAUAAUUCCUCAUAAUGUCAAUAAUGUCAUACAUCAGUUUAAUCUAAAGACAAAUCUUGUUAGCUUUGUUAAAUAAAUAAAUGAAAGAUAAAUGUUUACACGCUGUCAUGCGUGUUACUAGUUAGUACAAUAACUGGUGCUCUUACUCAUGAGAAUUAAAAAAUUAAAUUAUGACAUUUUAAUGUGGUUCCAUUUAACAUUCAUUGACUGACUCCAGGGUAACAAAAUUAAAUAAAACACCCAACAAGUGAGGACCACAAUACUAUCGCAC
Pangasianodon hypophthalmus (striped catfish) is the source of this 2394-nucleotide long non-coding RNA. RefSeq lists it as uncharacterized. Lineage: Eukaryota; Metazoa; Chordata; Actinopteri; Siluriformes; Pangasiidae. The record is from RefSeq and is a predicted model, not a curated record. The transcript has 3 exons.